CUGUACCCAUGGCAUGCAGAAGUUCCCAGGCCAGGGAUCGAACCUGUGCCACAGCAAUAAACUGAACCACAGCAGUGACAAUAUUGGAUCCUUAACUGCUGAGCCAGACAGCACCUGGUGGACAACCUUGAGGAACUGUCUGGUGAACUGGAUGCUCUCAGCCUGGCCUAGGGCAGGAGGACAGGGGGUCCCAGAUGUUUACACGGGACCAGCACCAGCCCAAAGGCCUCACAGGGAUGGGGAGCCCUGGCCCAGUCGUUCCCCUGCCCAGGACAGACCACCACCACUGGCUCCCUCCUUGCUGCUCCCAUCAUCGUGUCCUCCCUAGCUGUGCCUGGCCCAGGUGGCCAUGAGCCUUUCACUGGGCAGAUGCUUCAGAGUUCAGUGGCUUCUUCCCUGGCACCCCUGUGUCAGCCUGGCUGGGCCUGGAGGAAGAAGGCAAGAGGAGCUCAGAGUGGUGCUAUUAGUAGCCUCUGGUCAACCCGUCAGGCGGGGCAGGGACAUGGUGCAGUCCUCCAGUCUCCCCAUUCUGGAGACGGUCCACAGAGGGCGCUAGCGAGCCUCGCCAGCCAGGAAGCCUAAGGCUGAAGAUCUGGCCCCCAGGAGAUGCUGUGGCCAUCUGGCCCCACCUCCCACCCCGCAGCCCGGGCAGGAGCAGUUCCUGGCCUGAGACCUGUCCAGGGACCCAUGCAGGAUAACCUCCCCUGUCAUUUCAAGACGCCCCAUGUCCUCACCCUUCCCCUCCCAUUCUUUAGGGCUGCAGGGCCAGGCUGCACCUUCCUGCUCCUGCCUCAUCCUGGCUCAGCCCUGCGGCUCAGCUGCUCCAGGCUUUCCUCCCCGCAGGAAACCUCAGAACCUGGGGCCUGGGCGCCUCCCACAAAUGAUCACAGGCCAGGCAGGGAGGCAGGGUCUGCAGCAGACGUGGGGUGAGCACUUCCCCACCCCCGCCCUGGCAGGGAGGAGCACCAGAGCGGGAGGAAGGCCCUGAGCUGGCAUUUUUCAGGUUUGCAUUUGGAGACAAUUAGGAGCUGAAUUAUUAAAGACGUGUGAGAGAAGAGGCCGGUUUUAAGAAAGCAUGAGUAAGCAGGACUCUAGCACGGCAGGGCACAGGAUGAAGGCGAUCAAUCACCAUAAUGGCUGUAAAUAUUUACUCUGUUUACUUGUGAAUGUGUCCUGUGGCCAGGGACUUAACACAGGGGGCCCUAACUCAAAGACCCCAUCAGGCUGCCCAGAGGGCUGCAGCUCCAGCCCCACCCAUGCCAAGCCAGGCCUGCCCUGUGUGAGACUCCCGGGGUGGGGGAGGGGGUGGGGCUCUGAAGGGCUCUCCUGGCUUCGUCACACCACCGGGCUGCUCAACCUCCUGGGACCUCUGGACUCAUCUGCAAAAUGAGCUGAUGAAGCCCACCCAGUGCACAUGAGCACCCCCAGUGCAGCACCCAGGUAAAUGCAAGCCUUGCUGAUCCCCAGCCCAAUGGGUUGGCAGGUGGAGGCCCACCUGGAGGCAGAUGCUUAGGGCUCUGGUCUUACUUUGGACCCUUACUUAGUUAAAAACAUAGGAUCAGUAGCUCCCAUUGUGGCUCAGCGGUAAUGAACCUGACUAGUAUCCACAAGGACAGGUUCGAUCCCUGGCCUCGCUCAGUGGGUUAAGGAUCUGGUAUUGCUGUGACUGUAGUGCAGGUCACAGACAUGGCUUGGCUCCAGCAUUGCUGUGGCUGUGGUGUAGGCCAGCAGUUGCAGCUCAGAUUUGACCCCUAGCCUGGGAACCUCCAUAUGCCGUGUGGCCCUAAAAAGGAACACCCCCCCAAAAAAAACAGGAUCAGCCUAAGUCUCAGAAGUGGGGUACUUUCAGUAGGAGCCCCAGAAAUGUAAGAUGGCUGGUGAGGCACUGCCCUGAGGCUUGGCCUUGAGCCAGGAGCCGGAAUGUUUACUACGUACUCACUGUGUGCCGGACACUCCUGGGCUAAGUGCUAUGUCUUAUUUAAUCCUCAUGGCAGCACAGAAAGGAGAGUUCUUCUACCUUCACUCUCCAUUUUACAGGUGAGGAAACUGAGGCUCAGAGAGGUUCAGCGACUUGCCCAAGGUCACACAGCUGGUAAGUGGCAGAGCCAGGAUGAGAGCCUAGGCCCCUCCCACCCUUUCUAAGAAUCCCUGGGCUGUGCAGAGACCUACCCAUUCUCUGCUCUCUCCUCCUCCAUGGCACCUCCUUAUCCUUCCAUUAAGAGGUGCCCUGGCCCCAGGCAGCAGCCACACAUGCCUGAGGGCAUAUCUAAAGGCCCCAGCUGAAAGGGAGCCUGGCUUCUGCUUACUGUUCUGCCUGGCAGCCCCUCCACCUUGAGAUCCAUACUGUGGGGGCCUGCAUGGACCAGGUUGUCCCAGUGGGUGCUCAACUGAUCUCUAAAGACCCUGUCUUCGUGGAGUUCCUGUGGUGGCUCAGUGAUAACAAACCUGAAUAGUAUCCAUAAGGAUGCCAGUUUGAUCCCUGGCCCCACUUAGUGGGUUAAGGAUCCAGCAUUGCCAUGAGCUGUAGAGUAGGUUGCAGACAUGGCUCAGGUCUAGCAUUGCUGUGGCCUUGGCAUAGGCUGGCAGCUGUAGCUCCAAUUCAAACCCUAGCCUGGGUUUGAACUUCCAUAUGCCGCAGGUGUGGCCCAAAAAUACAAUAAAUAAAUAUAUAAACAAAAAUAAAGACCCUCUCAUCGUGGCCUGAACAUGUUGCUGCUACAGUGCCUGGUCUCUUCCCCAAAACACAAGUGGUCUCUUGAAGUCCAUGUGGAUCUCAGAGGAAGCACAAAUGGUGAACGUGUACACACACCCUCUUACAUACACAGACACAUGCAUGCACACAUACAGCUAAGAUGGAACACAGCGGUUUCCAGGCUCCCCACAGACUCACCUCAACCACCUCCCUGUGAGUUCUGGGCUUGGGAAGAGCUCAUCCGCCCUCAAUGCACCCACUGCCUUCCUCAAGUGCAAAGACAGAGCCCCAGCCCCCCUGUCUGGGCCCCUUGUAUUUCCCGAGCAGGGACACUGAAGCUAAGCCAGCUGCAGGAUAGAGGAAAGAGCAAGGUCCUGGAAUUCCCAGACCUAGACCUUGGGCAGCUCCUAUCCUCUUUCCCGGCCCCUUUCCUCAUUUGUACCUUGAGAACUCAGAGGGUCCAAGAGGAAGAAGAUGGAGGCUUGGGGGGUUAGAGGAGAUAGAGGCUUGGCCGGGGUGGCUGGAGGCGGGGGGGAGUCUGUCACUGUAUUUGAUGCAGCUUCCCAGGUCCAGGGGAGAUGGGGAAGUGGUGGUUUUGAGAUCUCCAUGGGAAGGGGGCGAGGAUAAACUACAACCCAGAUCCUUGCCUCUGCUCCCCACCCCUCAAGUGCAGGGACCCUGGAGCUCCAGAUUUGUCCAAUGCAGGCUGGAAGCAGGUCCCCAAAUAUCCCCAACUCAGGCCUGGCCCGGACAGCGCAACCACAGCUGGUUCCCAGGCAGGCACCACAUCCACCCACUCCAGUCCUGGCUUCACCUGGGAUGGCCCCUGGCUCAGGCCACAGCAGGCGGGGGUGUGACUGGGGGGUGUGCAUGGGCAGGUUUCCUGAAAGAGCUGGCAGCGGGCCUGCCUGUCACCUCAAAGCCAUUGAACUGGGAUCCCUGAAUGCGCUGGGGCUGUUGGGAUCCUGGGUGGCAGAGUCAAGUGGUACACUUCAUGGCCAAAGACGAGGUGGCGUAGUUAGCAAACCGCACAGGCAACAGCAUAGUCUGACUGGCAGGACUUCUGGCCUCGGCUAGUCAACCCGGGGUUCCUAGAACUGACCCAGAUAAAGGGGCUUCUAAAGUCUUAUUAGCUCUGCACAUGUGGGAAAAUUCUAAAUCUAGUGAACAGGGUCUGGCUUGAAUCCCCCAAAGAGAGAGUGAUCUUUGCAAAUGCCAUUGGAUCAGGCACCUGAUAUGUGCCAGGUGUGGCAGCGAUGUGACAGGGCAAGUCCUCGGAGGAACUGACAUUUGAAGGAGGAGAAAGACCAAGAGGGCUUGGGGAAGAGCAGGGGCGGUGGGGCUAGAACUCACUCAAGGUUCAAGGGAAACCACCAGGGGGUUGGCUGGAGAGUGACUUAUUUCCGUUUGCAAAGCUGCCUCGGGCAGCUUGCUGGGCGGAGCAUGCCUGCAGGGGCCACCUCUAGGGGAGAGAGGUCACCUCAAAGCCAUUGAACUGGGAGAGGCAGGAUGGAGAAAAGGAAGCAGAGAAAGAGAGAAACAGCCUAAAAGAGCAGCUACCCUCUGGGGCUUUCCACCACAUUUACAAUAGGUGGGAGGACCUGCCCUCCCAGAAUCCCCACACUCCAGCCCAAGGCUCCCAGCCUCUCCAUCUACCCCUGCCCUGCCCCCUCCCCUAGACUCUUCUCUCCUGCUGGGGGCUCCCGGCAUUCAGUCACCCACCCUCAGCCAGACCCUGGGAGGCCCAUGGCUUAGGAGUUUCUAACGACCCUCUCACUUCUCUCUUUCUCCCUUCUUUAGAAAACUUAGAGGCAGGGGGAGGCUUCCAUCCUGCUGGGCGGUGUUGGGUCAACUAUCGAUUCCCUGGUUUUUCCUUUCUUCCUCUCCCUCCUGGCCUACUUCAUUCACCCACUCUUUUUUUUUUUUUUUUUUGGUCUUUUCUAGGGCCGCUUCCCAAGGCAUAUGGAGGUUCCCAGGCUAGGGGUCCAAUCAGAGCUGUAGCCACCAGCCUAUGUCACAGCCACAGCAACAUGGGAUCUGAGCCGCGUCUGCAACCUACACCACGGCUCACAGCAAUGCCAGAUCCCCAACCCCUUAAGCAAGGCCGGGGAUCAAACCUGCAACCUCAUGGUUCCUAGUCGGAUUCAUUAACCACUGCGCCACAACAGGAACUCCAAUUCACCUACUCUUGGUGGCGCUCUGUUCCAAGGCCUGAGUGGGCUCUGUCACUUCCUACUCCGGUCUCAGGACUUGGGUCACUGCUCAGGCCCAAUCUAUAGCUCUCUGAGAGGGACAGCUCUUGGCC
This 4997-nucleotide long non-coding RNA is filed under the name Sus scrofa (pig). Its description in RNAcentral is "lncRNA (ENSSSCG00005030923.1)". The record is from RNAcentral. Lineage: Eukaryota; Metazoa; Chordata; Mammalia; Artiodactyla; Suidae.